AAUUAUCAACUCCCAUUCUUUGUUGAUUGGUGAGCUUGGACUUGGGGACUGCUGGUGCAAAUCAGCUUCCCUUGAAUGAAUUAGCUGGAAUUUGAUUCGCAGCAUAUAUGCGGUGUGAUAAUGUCGUCACUGUGUAGCUCGGAUUGUCUGGCUUCUAAUCGUCCUUCACGGACAACUUGAUC
RNAcentral lists this unclassified non-coding RNA (182 nucleotides) under uncultured Schizoporaceae. Its description in RNAcentral is "sequence contains ITS2". Lineage: Eukaryota; Fungi; Basidiomycota; Agaricomycetes; Hymenochaetales; Schizoporaceae. The record is from RNAcentral.